This 2594-nucleotide ribosomal RNA is filed under the name Solanum lycopersicum (tomato). RNAcentral's name for it is "eukaryotic LSU rRNA". The stretch from base 658 to 2594 matches the Rfam family "Eukaryotic large subunit ribosomal RNA". The record is from RNAcentral. Lineage: Eukaryota; Viridiplantae; Streptophyta; Magnoliopsida; Solanales; Solanaceae.
CAGGUGUACGUCAAGGGCAUCUUGUGGGCUUAAUAGGCGUGCUGCAUGGGCGCUUGAUGGCAUGCAUGGCUUGUUCGUACUACACCGUUGGGCAUCUACAAAAACAUGAUAGCGACGUUUGCGAGGCGGCUGAGGCAAGGGCAAGCGGACGUCAAGGGCGUCCUGUGGGCUUAGUAGGCAUGUUGCGUGGGCGUUUGACGGCAUGCAUGGCUCGUCCAUGCUACGCCAUUGGGCGUUUACAAAAACAUGUCCGCGACGUCUGCGGGGCGUUUGAGGUGGUGGUAGGUGGACGUCAUGGGCGUCCUGUGGGCUUAGUAGGCGUGUUGCGUGGGCGCUUGACGGCAUGCAUGGCUUGUCCGUGCUACACAAUUGGGCAUCAACAAAAUAAGUCGAGCGACGUCUGCGGGGAUACUGAGGCAAAAGCAGGUGGAUGUCAAGGGCGUCCUUUGGGCUUAGUAGGCGUGAUGCGUGGGCACUUGAUAGAAUGCAUUGCUCGUCCGUGCUACGCCUUUGGGAGCUUGCAAAAACAUGCCAACGACGUAUGCGGGGUGACUAAGGCGUUACAAGGCGGACGUCAGGGGCGUCCAACAGGCUUAGUAGGCGUGCUGCGUGGGCGCUUGACGGCAUGCAUGCAUCGUCCGUUCUACGCCGUUGGGCGCUUUCAAAAACAUGCUAGCGAAGUCUGCGGGGCGACUGUGCACCGCCGAGGGAACUUCUUAUGAUCGGUUUAUUAUGGCGUUUGGUGUGGAAACGGCACUGCUUUCGGGUGAGUGACGAGUUCUAGAGCUCUUGUUAUGACUAACUCUAGGUGGCGCACGCACAUGCGCAAGUAAGAACAUGUACGGCCACAGGCUUGUCCGGAGACGUCGGCGGGAGCCUCAGGAAGAGUUAUAUUUUCUGUUUAACAGCUUGCCCACCCUGGAAUCGGCUCAGCCGGCGGUAGGGUCCAGCGGAUGGAAGAGCACCGCACGUCGCGUGGUGUCGUGUGCGCUCCCGACGCCCCUUGAAAAUCCGGAGGACCGAAUGCUGUCCACGCCCGGUUAUACUCAUAACCGCAUCACAUCUCUAAGGCGAACAACCUCUGGUUGAUGGAACAAUAUAGGCAAGGGAAGUCGGCAAAAUGGAUCCGUAACUUCGGGAAAAGGAUUGGCUCUAAGGGCUAGGCACAGGGGUCCCUGUCCCGAAUGCAUCGGCUGUCGGUGGACUGCUCGAGCUGCUUCUGCUGCGAGAGCGGGUCGCCACGUGCCGGAUAGGGGACGGACUGGGAACGGUUCCUUCGGGGGCCUUCCCCGGGUGUCGAACAGCCAACUCAAAACUGGUAUGGACAAGGGGAAUCCGACUGUUUAAUUAAAACAAAGCAUUCGAUGGUCCAACCGGAUGUUUACGCAAUGUGAUUUCUGCCCAGUGGUCUGAAUGUCAAAGUGAAGAAAUUCAACCAAGCGCGGGUAAACAGCGGGUGUAACUGUGACUUUGUUAAGGUAGCCAAAUGCCUCAUCAUCUAAUUAGUGACGCACAUGAAUGGAUUAACGAAAUUCCCACUGUCCCUGUCUACUAUCCAGCGUAACUAAAUCCUAGGGAACGGGCUUGGCAGAAUCAGCAGGGAAAGAAUACCCUGUUGAGCUUGACUGUAGUACGACUUUGUCAAAUUACUUGAGAGGUGUAGUAUAAGUGGGAGCCGAAAGGCGAAAGUGAAAUACCACUACUUUUAACGUUAUUUUACUUAUUCCGUGAAUCGAAAGCGGGGCACUGCCCCUCUUUUUUGACCCAAGGCUCGCUUCGCUGGCCGAUUCGUGCGGAAGACAUUGUCAGGUGGGGAGUUUGGAUGGGGCUGCACAUCUGUUAAAAGAUAACACAGGUGUCCUAAGAUGAGCUCAACGAGAACAGAAAUCUCGUGUGGAACAGAAGGGUAAAAGCUCGUUUGAUUUUGAUUUCCAGUACGAAUACGAACUGUGAAAGUGUGGCCUAACGAUCCUUUAGACCUUCGAAAUUCGAAGCUAUAGGUGUCAGAAAAUUUACCAAAUGGAUAACUGGCUUGUGGCAGACAAGCGUUCAUAGCGACAUUGCUUUUUGAACCUUCGAUGUCGGCUCUUCAUAUCAUUGUGAAGCAGAAUUCACCAAGUGUUUGAUUGUUCACCCACCAAUAGGGAACGUGAGCUGGGUUUAGACCGUUGUGAGACAGGUUAGUUUUACCCUACAAAUGAGAGUGUCGCAAUAGUAAUUCAACCUAGUACGAAAGGAACCGUUGAUUCACACAAUUGUCCAUCACGCUUGGUUGAAAAGCUAGUGGCGCGAAGCUACCAUGUGCUGGAUUAUGACUGAAUGCCUCUAAGUCAGAAUGCGGGCUAGAAGCGAUGCAUGCACCCGCUAUCCGCUUGCUGACCCACAGUAGGGGCCUAUGGCCCCCAAGGGCACAUGUCAUUGGCUAAGUCGCCGCGACCGAAGCGUCGCGGUGACCGCCUUACAGUAUAAUUUCCAUCGAGCGGCGGGUAGAAUCCUUUGCAGAUGACUUGAAUACGCGACGGGGUAUUGUAAGUGGCAGAGUGGCCUUGCUUCCACGAUCUACUGAGAUUCAUCCCUUUGUUGCUCUGAUUCGU